GCGGGGUAUUUUUAUUAAACCAAAAAGAUUUUUCUUCUUUUUUUUUUUUUGUAGGAAAAAUAUUUUUCUCUUAAAAUGGAUCAUAAUUACAAUUUCUCCAUCCACAUUUUUACUUAUGGAUACCCUUGAACAUAUCUUACACAUUAUAUUAUAAUUGAAAAGACCAAUAAAAAGUUAAAUGUAUAUAUUUAUGAUAAAAUAAAGUAUGUACAUCUAACAAUAUGUUUGUCCAUUUUUUUAUAAUUAAGCACAACUAUGCAUAGUUAAAUUUCAAGUCUUUAUAAUUGUAAUUGAUUAGAAUAAUACAGUAAUUACUGAAUACAUGUUUAAUAUAUAUUAUGUUAAAUAAAUUAUUUAUUGCUUCUUAUCAGAUUAUAAAAGUUCUACAACUUUUUGUAUGCAAACAAAAUUUACAAUAUAUUUCAAAUCUAUUUAAAUGUUACUCUAGCUGACCCCAUAUGACAUUCCUCAUAACAAAUUAAAUACCCAGUUUUAAACCAUUUAAAAAGAAAAUUUUUAUUAUUCCACCAACCUUAAAAAGUUUACUGGAGGAGGUAUUUCUAGAAAAAAUAUAACAUUCAUACCUGGCAAUUUAUUUUCCACCAAAGUAAAUGAUAAUUAAGUUACUUUCUAUCUAUGUAACCAAGGAAACCCAUGCAAUUUUAAUAAUUUUUAUAUUUUAAGGUCAAAAUUCAUGUGUCAACAUCCCUAUUGUAAUUAAAUUUUGAAAAAUUCCUUCUGUCUGUGCAUAAUAAUAUGAAACUACUAAAUAAAUUGUAUAAACACAGUUUCAGUAAUUUCGGCUCGGGAAUGAUAAAUCAGUCAAAACAUGUUAUUUUAUAUAGUAUAUAGAUGAAUAGUUUAAAGCAUAAUGAAAAUUAAAAUAUUUUUAAAUUAAAUACAUUAACAGUUGUAUGGAAAUUUACUAGAAUUAAUAUUUUAUUCAAAGAAAAGUAAUAUAAAUUUAAAGUUAAACAACAAUAGAG
This is a non-coding RNA of Cinara cedri, 986 nucleotides long. The record is from the annotation of a GenBank genome assembly. Lineage: Eukaryota; Metazoa; Arthropoda; Insecta; Hemiptera; Aphididae.